This 253-nucleotide ribosomal RNA is filed under the name uncultured bacterium. RNAcentral describes it as "partial 16S ribosomal RNA". It matches the Rfam family "Bacterial small subunit ribosomal RNA", at positions 524 to 776 of the family's 1533-position model. The record is from RNAcentral.
CACGUAGGGCGCAAGCGUUGUCCGGCAUUAUUGGGCGUAAAGAGCUCGUAGGCGGUCUGUUGCGUCCGCUGUGAAAACUCGGGGCUUAACCCCGAGCCUGCAGUGGAUACGGGCAGACUAGAGGUAGGUAGGGGAGAAUGGAAUUCCCGGUGUAGCGGUGAAAUGCGCAGAUAUCGGGAGGAACACCGGUGGUGUAGACGGCUUUCUGGACCGUAACUGACGCUGAAACACGAAAGCGUGGGUAGCAAACAGG